CCCUUAGAUGUUCUGGGCUGCACGCGUGCUACACUGAUAUUGCCGAUAUGUCAUUCUUAUCCGAAAUGGAUUGGGUAAUCAAGUAAUGAAAUUUCAUGCUUGGAAUCGGUAAUUGCAAUUUUAUCGUGAACGAGGAAUUCCUAGUAAGCACUAGUCAUCAGCUAAUGUUGAUUAUGUCCCUGCCCUUUGUACACACCGCCCGUCGCUACUACUGAUUGGGUGUUCAAGUGAGAUGCUUAGACCCUUGUUGCAUGGUUCAUUAUUGUGCUCCGAAAGGAAAAAGUUUCAAGCUUGAGUGUCUAGAGGAAGUAAAAGUCGUAACA
RNAcentral lists this ribosomal RNA (323 nucleotides) under uncultured eukaryote. RNAcentral describes it as "partial 18S ribosomal RNA". It matches the Rfam family "Eukaryotic small subunit ribosomal RNA", at positions 1470 to 1796 of the family's 1831-position model. The record is from RNAcentral.